This 253-nucleotide ribosomal RNA is filed under the name uncultured bacterium. RNAcentral's name for it is "partial 16S ribosomal RNA". It matches the Rfam family "Bacterial small subunit ribosomal RNA", at positions 524 to 776 of the family's 1533-position model. The record is from RNAcentral.
UACGGAGGGGGCGAGCGUUAUUCGGAAUUAUUGGGCGUAAAGGGCGCGUAGGCGGCUUUGCAAGUCAAAGGUGAAAUCCCUCGGCUCAACUGAGGAACUGCCUUUGAAACUGUGAGGCUUGAGUCCGGGAGGGGGUAGCGGAAUUCCCAGUGUAGCGGUGAAAUGCGUAGAUAUCGGGAAGAACACCUAUGGCGAAGGCAGCUCUCUGGGACGGUACUGACGCUGAGACGCGAAAGCGUGGGGAGCGAACAGG